CUCUAGGACAAAAUCAUGUCCAUUCCUAGACAUGUCUGGACCUAUUUUUAUCAUAUGAAAGAAUAUAAAGAUGCUGGACCCACUGCUAAGCCAAGGCUGCCUUUUCUGGGUAAUGCUACAUCCUCACUCAAACAACUCAGGACAAAAUAACUGGUUUCAGAAAUGGAACUUGCAACCUGAAGCAAAGUUAGAAGUCAUGUCACCAGGAAAAAGAGAAUCACCAGGUGAGAGAGCUGGAAACAGAUGCCUUCAAGACAAUAUCAAUGGUUGGGGGAUUAAUUAA
RNAcentral lists this long non-coding RNA (283 nucleotides) under Parus major (Great Tit). RNAcentral's name for it is "lncRNA (ENSPMJG00000012599.1)". The record is from RNAcentral. Lineage: Eukaryota; Metazoa; Chordata; Aves; Passeriformes; Paridae.